Non-coding RNA from Triticum aestivum (bread wheat), 46 nucleotides. Lineage: Eukaryota; Viridiplantae; Streptophyta; Magnoliopsida; Poales; Poaceae. The record is from Rfam.
CCACUGGUUUUCUUAAAAACCAUAGAUCGGUUUAUUUAUUUAUUUU